AACCUGACAGUUUAUCUAUCAUUGAACAGAAUUCAGAUCAUUCACAUUUAGUUUAACAGCUGAAAACAGGGUCUUCUGGCUUUUUAUUAUUUUUCUCAUUUUUACUCCUGUCAAUAUACUAUUUGUGACAAACGCUGCUGGAGAUCCACUUGUUCAGGUCCUUCGUGUUCUGAAUACUGAACAAGACACAGAAAAGGCACUAAGGCUAUACAUCUAUGGAAGGCAGGAAAAAAAGCAUUUCUGCAGGACCAAAGCAGGCCAGGGAAGAGCUCAUAGCAUCCCUGAGGCGGAAAUGAAGGGGGUUUUUAGUAUCCAAAAUAUCUGGAUCAAUUUCCAUUUCAUGCAAUAGGCUUUGGGAUAUUUGUCCUACCAAAACUCACUUGGCCUCAUUCCAAAAUAAACUAAACUGUCCUAUCCAAAAUUUACCUGGCCUCUCUUCAGAUGUAAAGGAAGGAUUAGAAACAGUGUCUUUUGAUUGGCUGUGCACAGGUGUAUUCAGGAGUGUUGAGAAUAGCGUCUUCAGGUUGGCCUCCAAGAAGCUCCAGAUUCAGGUGAAGAAUUGAAAAUAGUACUUAUCUGCUCAGUCCACCCAUCACCCAUAAGCUGGACAUCAUUUUGAGCUCUCUGUUCUGUGCAUGUCCUCUCUUUUUAGGAAAUAUUUUGCUCAACAUUUUAGCCCUGGAUUUUUAUUACCUUUUUCACUUUCUGCCCAGCUUUAGACUCCCCAGCACAACUCUACCUCAGUGAGACCACAGAUUUUUCCCAUGACUUGAAAGGGAGACAUAACCAUCGUCAAUCCUGGGCACACAUUUUUAACUUUAUAAUGUCAGACUGCAGUAAAAUGUUACCUAUCAGUUGGUUCACUGUUACAGGUUCCUAAUCGCUCUGACUUGGGAUGUGGGGAAGGAAGCCUUGAAAAAUAAAAGCUUUCACCUGUGGAAAAAAUGAAGGCUUGAAAAUCUGGCUGUGACCAUGAAUGGAUGAAGAGUUCUGGUAUUUUCUUAGUGCAAGGCAUUGGCCAUGGGCCAGCAGGAGAAAGUACUGUGAGCCCUUUGGAAACCUGUUUUGAGGAGGCUACUUUUUCUUAGGAAACACUGAGGAAGGAAAUCUGUUGGAUUAAAGAAACCUUUUCUAGAAGUCUCAGGAGACCUCUCCUUACAUGGCUCUGACGAUGGCUGUCAGCCCUGCACUGAUCAUUACAAAUGAGGUGGGGUCCCCACACCUCCCGGAGAGAAGCCAACCCUCCUGAGAAACUUCUGUUCACAGCAGAUCGUACAACCAACUGUGGUUCUACUGGGAAAACUCAUGGAUGAGCCUUUUGAGACCUCUGCAGUAGAUUCCGAUCUCCUGCUCGGUGCUACAGUGCAAGGCUGAGAAAAAAAACAAAAGACAGAACUAAAGAGACAGAGAAACUGAGAAGAUGACCCAUGCUGCUCAUCCAGCAAAGGAACCUGUCAGUCCAAGCCACUGACUUUUGUCGGCAAUCAAAUGGAGUAAAGGUAAAUUAUGUGCAAAGGGGGAACUAUGUACAAGGAUGAACAAUUGUGCAAUUACUAUGGAUACCAAUGCAAACAAGGCUUGUAAAGAACAUGACAAAGCACUCUCAG
Molecule: RNA transcript, 1607 nt
Organism: Fukomys damarensis (Damara mole-rat)
Lineage: Eukaryota; Metazoa; Chordata; Mammalia; Rodentia; Bathyergidae
Gene name: histone H4
Exons: 4
Source: RefSeq, a predicted model, not a curated record